UUGGGCCUGAAUCAAGACCAACAGUUUGUUGAAGCUGUUGUUUUCAAGCAGAUGCCUAAAGAAAUGGCUUUUCUAUGGUCUGUUGGUCAUUUCAGAAAUUUGAAAAUGUAAUGGUCAAUUCAUUAGAAAGAAGCAUGU
Molecule: small nucleolar RNA, 138 nt
Organism: Nannospalax galili (Upper Galilee mountains blind mole rat)
Lineage: Eukaryota; Metazoa; Chordata; Mammalia; Rodentia; Spalacidae
Source: Ensembl